This 501-nucleotide ribosomal RNA is filed under the name uncultured bacterium. Its description in RNAcentral is "bacterial SSU rRNA". It matches the Rfam family "Bacterial small subunit ribosomal RNA", at positions 62 to 543 of the family's 1533-position model. The record is from RNAcentral.
UCGAACGCGAAAGGGGCUUCGGCCCUGAGUAGAGUGGCGAACGGGUGAGUAACACGUGGGUGAUCUACCUUCGAGUGGGGGAUAACGUCCCGAAAGGGACGCUAAUACCGCAUGACGUUCCGGGUUUAAAGACCUGGAAACCAAAGCCGGGGACCGCAAGGCCUGGCGCUGGAAGAGGAGCCCGCGUCCGAUUAGCUAGUUGGCGGGGUAAUGGCCCACCAAGGCGACGAUCGGUAGCCGGCCUGAGAGGGCGGACGGCCACACUGGAACUGAGACACGGUCCAGACUCCUACGGGAGGCAGCAGUGGGGAAUUGUUCACAAUGGGCGCAAGCCUGAUGACGCAACGCCGCGUGGGGGAUGAAGGUCUUCGGAUUGUAAACCCCUGUCGAACGGGACGAAAGACCCGGGAGCUAAUCAUCCCGGGAGUGACGGUACCGUUAAAGGAAGCCACGGCUAACUCUGUGCCAGCAGCCGCGGUAAUACAGAGGUGGCAAGCGUUG